Molecule: unclassified non-coding RNA, 223 nt
Filed under: Hevea brasiliensis (rubber tree)
Lineage: Eukaryota; Viridiplantae; Streptophyta; Magnoliopsida; Malpighiales; Euphorbiaceae
Source: RNAcentral
GGCUGGUACUAUCGCUGCCUCGGCGUCGACCCCUGAACUCGCCAAUCCAUAUCGAAUUUCAGUGUUUUACAGAUUUUCUUUUCGAUAAAUUAAAAAAGAAAGAAUCCAAAUUCUCUGUUUUUAACCAUUAUUUGAUCUUCAUUGAGAUCUUCUUUUAUCUGUUUAUUUUUUUUUUCGAUUUGCUUGAAAAAACAAAAAAUGUUGCUUUACAAACCCAAGAAGA